Molecule: ribosomal RNA, 1264 nt
Filed under: Leuconostoc mesenteroides
Lineage: Bacteria; Bacillati; Bacillota; Bacilli; Lactobacillales; Lactobacillaceae
Description: bacterial SSU rRNA
Rfam family: Bacterial small subunit ribosomal RNA
Source: RNAcentral
GAAACAGAUGCUAAUACCGAAUAAAACUUAGUGUCGCAUGACACAAAGUUAAAAGGCGCUUCGGCGUCACCUAGAGAUGGAUCCGCGGUGCAUUAGUUAGUUGGUGGGGUAAAGGCCUACCAAGACAAUGAUGCAUAGCCGAGUUGAGAGACUGAUCGGCCACAUUGGGACUGAGACACGGCCCAAACUCCUACGGGAGGCUGCAGUAGGGAAUCUUCCACAAUGGGCGAAAGCCUGAUGGAGCAACGCCGCGUGUGUGAUGAAGGCUUUCGGGUCGUAAAGCACUGUUGUAUGGGAAGAACAGCUAGAAUAGGAAAUGAUUUUAGUUUGACGGUACCAUACCAGAAAGGGACGGCUAAAUACGUGCCAGCAGCCGCGGUAAUACGUAUGUCCCGAGCGUUAUCCGGAUUUAUUGGGCGUAAAGCGAGCGCAGACGGUUUAUUAAGUCUGAUGUGAAAGCCCGGAGCUCAACUCCGGAAUGGCAUUGGAAACUGGUUAACUUGAGUGCAGUAGAGGUAAGUGGAACUCCAUGUGUAGCGGUGGAAUGCGUAGAUAUAUGGAAGAACACCAGUGGCGAAGGCGGCUUACUGGACUGCAACUGACGUUGAGGCUCGAAAGUGUGGGUAGCAAACAGGAUUAGAUACCCUGGUAGUCCACACCGUAAACGAUGAACACUAGGUGUUAGGAGGUUUCCGCCUCUUAGUGCCGAAGCUAACGCAUUAAGUGUUCCGCCUGGGGAGUACGACCGCAAGGUUGAAACUCAAAGGAAUUGACGGGGACCCGCACAAGCGGUGGAGCAUGUGGUUUAAUUCGAAGCAACGCGAAGAACCUUACCAGGUCUUGACAUCCUUUGAAGCUUUUAGAGAUAGAAGUGUUCUCUUCGGAGACAAAGUGACAGGUGGUGCAUGGUCGUCGUCAGCUCGUGUCGUGAGAUGUUGGGUUAAGUCCCGCAACGAGCGCAACCCUUAUUGUUAGUUGCCAGCAUUCAGAUGGGCACUCUAGCGAGACUGCCGGUGACAAACCGGAGGAAGGCGGGGACGACGUCAGAUCAUCAUGCCCCUUAUGACCUGGGCUACACACGUGCUACAAUGGCGUAUACAACGAGUUGCCAACCCGCGAGGGUGAGCUAAUCUCUUAAAGUACGUCUCAGUUCGGAUUGUAGUCUGCAACUCGACUACAUGAAGUCGGAAUCGCUAGUAAUCGCGGAUCAGCACGCCGCGGUGAAUACGUUCCCGGGUCUUGUACACACCGCCCGUCACACCAU